UACAGAGGAUGCAAGCGUUAUCCGGAAUGAUUGGGCGUAAAGCGUCUGUAGGUGGCUUUUUAAGUCCGCCGUCAAAUCCCAGGGCUCAACUCUGGACAGGCGGUGGAAACUACCAAGCUGGAGUACGGUAGGGGCAGAGGGAAUUUGAGGUAGGCGGAAUUGACGGUGUAGCGGUGAAAUGCUUAGAUAUCGUCAAGAACACCGAUAGUGAAGACAGCUUACCAAGCUUCAACUGACGCUGAGGCACGAAAGUGUGGGGAUCAAACAGG
Molecule: ribosomal RNA, 269 nt
Filed under: uncultured bacterium
Lineage: Bacteria
Description: partial 16S ribosomal RNA
Rfam family: Bacterial small subunit ribosomal RNA
Source: RNAcentral